Molecule: ribosomal RNA, 253 nt
Filed under: uncultured Eubacteriales bacterium
Lineage: Bacteria; Bacillati; Bacillota; Clostridia; Eubacteriales
Description: uncultured Clostridiales bacterium partial 16S ribosomal RNA
Rfam family: Bacterial small subunit ribosomal RNA
Source: RNAcentral
UACGUAGGUGGCAAGCGUUGUCCGGAUUUACUGGGUGUAAAGGGCGUGUAGCCGGGCUGACAAGUCAGAUGUGAAAUCCGGGGGCUCAACCCCUGAACUGCAUUUGAAACUGUUGGUCUUGAGUAUCGGAGAGGCAGGCGGAAUUCCUAGUGUAGCGGUGAAAUGCGUAGAUAUAACUUAGAACUCCGAUCGCGAAGGCAGCUUACCAGACUGUAACUGACGCUGAAGCACGAGAGCGUGGGUAGCAAACAGG